Molecule: ribosomal RNA, 460 nt
Filed under: uncultured bacterium
Lineage: Bacteria
Description: partial 16S ribosomal RNA
Rfam family: Bacterial small subunit ribosomal RNA
Source: RNAcentral
CCUACGGGAGGCAGCAGUGAGGAAUAUUGGUCAAUGGGCGCAAGCCUGAACCAGCCAAGUCGCGUGAGGGAUGACGGUCCUAUGGAUUGUAAACCUCUUUUGUCGGGGAGCAAGGCCCGCCACGUGUGGCGGGAAGGAGAGUACCCGAAGAAAAAGCAUCGGCUAACUCCGUGCCAGCAGCCGCGGUAAUACGGAGGAUGCGAGCGUUAUCCGGAUUUAUUGGGUUUAAAGGGUGCGUAGGCGGAAGGUUAAGUCAGCGGUAAAAUGUCGGUGCUCAACACCGGCCUGCCGUUGAAACUGGUCUUCUUGAGUGAGCGAGAAGUAUGCGGAAUGAGUGGUGUAGCGGUGAAAUGCAUAGAUAUCACGCAGAACUCCGAUUGCGAAGGCAGCAUACCGGCGCUCAACUGACGCUGAGGCACGAAAGCGUGGGGAUCGAACAGGAUUAGAUACCCCAGUAGUC